Molecule: ribosomal RNA, 410 nt
Filed under: uncultured bacterium
Lineage: Bacteria
Description: bacterial SSU rRNA
Rfam family: Bacterial small subunit ribosomal RNA
Source: RNAcentral
UAGCCUUGACAUUGAUAGAAUACACCAGAGAUGGAGUAGUGCCUUUCGGGGAACUUGAAAACAGGUGCUGCACGGCUGUCGUCAGCUCGUGUCGUGAGAUGUUAGGUUAAGUCCCGCAACGAGCGCAACCCUCGUCCUUAGUUGCCAGCAGGUUAAGCUGGGCACUCUAAGGAGACUGCCUUCGUAAGGAGGAGGAAGGUGAGGACGACGUCAAGUCAUCAUGGCCCUUAUGGCUAGGGCUACACACGUGCUACAAUGGGGCGUACAGAGUGUUGCGAUACCGCGAGGUGGAGCUAAUCACUUAAAGCGUCUCUCAGUUCGGAUAGCAGUCUGCAACUCGACUGCUUGAAGCUGGAAUCACUAGUAAUCGUAGAUCAGCAAUGCUACGGUGAAUACGUUCCGCGGGUUCU